GCGGCGGCGACGACGGCCGAGGCGAGGAACAUCAAGACGGCGGAGAAGAAGGACGACGCGGUGGUGCAGCCGCAGACCUUCCCGCCCUUCGACCGCCUCGGCGGCGGCCUCCCCGGGGCCGGAGGCAGCAGCAUCCCGGGGUUCUCCAUGCCCGGCAGCGGCGGGCUCACCCCGGGCUUCAGCCUCCCCGGCUCCGGCAGCAUCGGCAGCAUGCCCCUCUUCGGCGGCGGCGGCUCCCCCUUCAGCGGCUUCGGAGGCAUGCCCGGCUCCCCCGCCGCCGGCGGCUCCGUCCCCGAGCACUCCAACAAACCCUGAAGAAGCUCGCCGGAG
This 330-nucleotide long non-coding RNA is filed under the name Setaria viridis. Its description in RNAcentral is "long non-coding RNA (SVIR_LNC005190)". The record is from RNAcentral. Lineage: Eukaryota; Viridiplantae; Streptophyta; Magnoliopsida; Poales; Poaceae.